ACGAUAUAAAGAGGCUGGCGGGAAGUAGCUGCAUGAGGAAGGCUGAGGACCAGGUGUAGUGGCGCUCUUUAGUGAAGGACUAUGUCCAACAGUGGACGUCGACAGGCUGAUGAUGAU
Maniola jurtina (meadow brown) is the source of this 117-nucleotide long non-coding RNA. RefSeq lists it as uncharacterized. The record is from RefSeq and is a predicted model, not a curated record. Lineage: Eukaryota; Metazoa; Arthropoda; Insecta; Lepidoptera; Nymphalidae. The transcript is spliced from 3 exons.